RNAcentral lists this ribosomal RNA (447 nucleotides) under uncultured bacterium. RNAcentral describes it as "bacterial SSU rRNA". It matches the Rfam family "Bacterial small subunit ribosomal RNA", at positions 331 to 792 of the family's 1533-position model. The record is from RNAcentral.
CCAGACUCCUACGGGAGGCAGCAGUGGGGAAUAUUGGACAAUGGGGGGAACCCUGAUCCAGCGACGCCGCGUGAGUGAAGAAGUAUUUCGGUAUGUAAAGCUCUAUCAGCAGGGAAGAAAGAAAUGACGGUACCUGACUAAGAAGCCCCGGCUAACUACGUGCCAGCAGCCGCGGUAAUACGUAGGGGGCAAGCGUUAUCCGGAUUUACUGGAUGUAAAGGGAGCGUAGACGGCGAUGCAAGUCAGGGGUGAAAGCCCGGGGCCCAACCCCGGGACUGCCCUUGGAACUGCAUGGCUGGAGUGCGGGAGGGGCAGGCGGAAUUCCUGGUGUAGCGGUGAAAUGCGUAGAUAUCAGGAGGAACACCGGCGGCGAAGGCGGCCUGCUGGACUGCGACUGACGUUGAGGCUCGAAAGCGUGGGGAGCGAACAGGAUUAGAUGCCCUUGUA